GAUGAACGCUAGCUACAGGCUUAACACAUGCAAGUCGAGGGGAAACGACAUCGAAAGCUUGCUUUGAUGGGCGUCGACCGGCGCACGGGUGAGUAACGCGUAUCCAACCUGCCCACCACUUGGGGAUAACCUUGCGAAAGUAAGACUAAUACCCGAUGAUAUCCCUAGAAGACAUCUGAAAGGGAUUAAAGAUUUAUCGGUGAUGGAUGGGGAUGCGUCUGAUUAGCUUGUUGGCGGGGUAACGGCCCACCAAGGCGACGAUCAGUAGGGGUUCUGAGAGGAAGGUCCCCCACAUUGGAACUGAGACACGGUCCAAACUCCUACGGGAGGCAGCAGUGAGGAAUAUUGGUCAAUGGGCGAGAGCCUGAACCAGCCAAGUAGCGUGCAGGAAGACGGCCCUAUGGGUUGUAAACUGCUUUUAUAAGGGAAUAAAGUGAGCCUCGUGAGGCUUUUUGCAUGUACCUUAUGAAUAAGGACCGGCUAAUUCCGUG
This 491-nucleotide ribosomal RNA is filed under the name uncultured bacterium. Its description in RNAcentral is "bacterial SSU rRNA". It matches the Rfam family "Bacterial small subunit ribosomal RNA", at positions 28 to 507 of the family's 1533-position model. The record is from RNAcentral.